Molecule: unclassified non-coding RNA, 394 nt
Filed under: soil metagenome
Description: partial contains 5.8S ribosomal RNA, internal transcribed spacer 2, and large subunit ribosomal RNA
Rfam family: 5.8S ribosomal RNA (bases 1-122)
Source: RNAcentral
GAUGAAGAACGUAGCGAAAUGCGAUACUUGGUGUGAAUUGCAGAAUCCCGUGAACCAUCGAGUCUUUGAACGCAAGUUGCGCCCGAAGCCACUAGGCCGAGGGCACGCCUGCCUGGGCGUCACACGUCGUUGCCCCCCCCCCCAUCUACUCCUUCGGGAUUUCGGGGGGCGGAUGAUGGCCUCCCGUGCGCCUAGCCGCGCGGUUGGCAUAAAUACCAAGUCCUCGGCGACGCACACCACGACAAUCGGUGGUUGCGAAACCUCGGUUGCCCGUCGUGUGCGUUCGUCGCGCAUCGAGGGCUCGAAAAAAUGCUCGGCUCCGGCUCGGCUUUCAACGCGACCCCAGGUCAGGCGGGGUUACCCGCUGAAUUUAAGCAUAUCAAUAAGCGGAGGA